AUUGCCUUAGUACGGCGAGUGAAGCGGCAAAAGCUCAAAUUUGAAAUCUAGUACCUUCGGUGCUCGAGUUGUAAUUUGAAGAUGGUAACUUUGGAGUUGGCCCUUGUCUAUGUUCCUUGGAACAGGACGUCACAGAGGGUGAGAAUCCCGUCUGACGAGGUGAUCCAACUCUAUGUAAAGUGCUAUCGAAGAGUCGAGUUGUUUGGGAAUGCAGCUCUAAGUGGGUGGUAAAUUCCAUCUAAAGCUAAAUAUUGGCGAGAGACCGAUAGCGAACAAGUACAGUGAUGGAAAGAUGAAAAGAACUUUGAAAAGAGAGUGAAAAAGUACGUGAAAUUGUUGAAAGGGAAGGGUAUUAGAUCAGACUUGGCGUUUUAUGAUUAUCUUCUCUUCUUGAGUUGUGCACUCGUAUUGCGCUGGGCCAGCAUCGAUUCGGAUGGCAGGAUAAUGGCAAUUGAAUGUGGCAUCCACUUCGGUGUAUGUGUUAUAGCUUUUGUUGAUGCUGCCUAUCUGGAUCGAGGACUGCGUCUUUUGACUAGGAUGUUGGCGUAAUGAUCUAAUAUCGCCGCUG
Molecule: ribosomal RNA, 568 nt
Filed under: Taiozyma odintsovae
Lineage: Eukaryota; Fungi; Ascomycota; Saccharomycetes; Phaffomycetales; Wickerhamomycetaceae
Description: [Candida] odintsovae partial large subunit ribosomal RNA
Rfam family: Eukaryotic large subunit ribosomal RNA
Source: RNAcentral